UGAACGCUAGCGGCAGGCUUAAUACAUGCAAGUCGAACGGUAAGGUCUCGCUUGCGAGAUACACGAGUGGCGCACGGGUGAGUAACGCGUAUGCAACCUACCUUCAACUGGAGAAUAGCCCCGAGAAAUCGGGAUUAAUACUCCAUAAUAUCCAAGUUUCUCAUGAUUUUUGGAUUAAAGUUUCGACGGUUGAAGAUGGGCAUGCGUGACAUUAGUUUGUUGGUGAGGUAACGGCUCACCAAGACUACGAUGUCUAGGGGUUCUGAGAGGAUUGUCCCCCACACUGGUACUGAGACACGGACCAGACUCCUACGGGAGGCAGCAGUAAGGAAUAUUGGUCAAUGGACGAAAGUCUGAACCAGCCAUGCCGCGUGCAGGAUGACAGCCCUACGGGUUGUAAACUGCUUUUAUACGGGAAGAACUCCCUGUACGUGUACAGGGUUGACGGUACCGUACGAAUAAGGAUCGGCUAACUCC
RNAcentral lists this ribosomal RNA (477 nucleotides) under uncultured bacterium. RNAcentral's name for it is "bacterial SSU rRNA". It matches the Rfam family "Bacterial small subunit ribosomal RNA", at positions 30 to 504 of the family's 1533-position model. The record is from RNAcentral.